AUUGAACGCUGGCGGCAUGCCUUACACAUGCAAGUCGAACGGUAACGGGCCUUCGGGUGCCGACGAGUGGCGCACGGGUGCGUAAUACAUCGGAACGUGCCCGAUCGUGGGGGAUAACGAGGCGAAAGCUUUGCUAAUACCGCAUACGAUCUACGGAUGAAAGCAGGGGACCGCAAGGCCUUGCGCGGACGGAGCGGCCGAUGGCAGAUUAGGUAGUUGGUGGGAUAAAAGCUUACCAAGCCGACGAUCUGUAGCUGGUCUGAGAGGAUGAUCAGCCACACUGGGACUGAGACACGGCCCAGACUCCUACGGGAGGCAGCAGUGGGGAAUUUUGGACAAUGGGCGCAAGCCUGAUCCAGCCAUGCCGCGUGCAGGAUGAAGGCCUUCGGGUUGAAAACUGCUUUUGUACGGAACGAAAAGCCUUCUUUUAAUACAGGAGGGUCAUGACGGUACCGUAAGAAUAAGCACCGGCUAACUACGUG
RNAcentral lists this ribosomal RNA (482 nucleotides) under uncultured bacterium. RNAcentral's name for it is "partial 16S ribosomal RNA". It matches the Rfam family "Bacterial small subunit ribosomal RNA", at positions 30 to 507 of the family's 1533-position model. The record is from RNAcentral.